AGUGAACGCUGGCGGUAGGCCUAACACAUGCAAGUCGAACGGCGGCACAGUAAGAGCUUGCUCUUACGGGUGGCGAGUGGCGGACGGGUGAGGAAUACAUCGGAAUCUACUUUUUCGUGGGGGAUAACGUAGGGAAACUUACGCUAAUACCGCAUACGACCUACGGGUGAAAGCAUGGGAUCUUCGGACCUUGCGCGAUUGAAUGAGCCGAUGUCGGAUUAGCUAGUUGGCGGGGUAAAGGCCCACCAAGGCGACGAUCCGUAGCUGGUCUGAGAGGAUGAUCAGCCACACUGGAACUGGGACACGGUCCAGACUCCUACGGAAGGCAGCAGUGGGGAAUAUUGGACAAUGGGCGCAAGCCUGAUCCAGCCAUACCGCGUGGGUGAAGAAGGCCUUCGGGUUGUAAAGCCCUUUUGUUGGGAAAGAAAAGCAGCAGGUUAAUACCCCGCUGUUCUGACGGUACCCAAAGAAUAAGCACCGGCUAACUUCGUG
RNAcentral lists this ribosomal RNA (492 nucleotides) under uncultured bacterium. Its description in RNAcentral is "partial 16S ribosomal RNA". It matches the Rfam family "Bacterial small subunit ribosomal RNA", at positions 29 to 507 of the family's 1533-position model. The record is from RNAcentral.